UGGGAGGCCGAGGCAGGAGAAUCACUUGAACCUGGGAGGCGGAGGUUGCAGUGAGCCAAGAUUGCACCACUGCACUCCAGUCUCAGCAACAGAGCGAGACUCCAUCUCAAAUAAGUAAAUACAUAAAUAAUUAGGAUUUUGUUCUUUUUACAUUUCUGUACGUAAUUCAAGUCUUCCUGGGGGUAAAAACUACUUACUCACUAAGGGAAUAAUUCAGUCAUUUCAAACCAUUUUUGAGGGUCUCUACUCAGCAGUUUGAUGUUGUGUAAUGAUUCAGGAUUCUUCUCUGUGACCCUGAUGGGCCAUUCCGAUUCCUAUUUAUAGAUGCUUAUCUCAAGACCUUCUGUGUGGGUAGUCUCAGAGCCCUUGGGACUGCCUUCGUCCACAACCUUGGGUUUGAGUCAUAUCACUACCGAAUUCUUCCCUCUGUUCAUGGAAAUCUGGUAACUACAUCAACGAGGUAUUUUCUACAGAACUGAUUGGGUUUUUUGUUUCUUUGCCUCAUAAGAUAUAAAAAUGUCUAAAGGCCCUGGAAUGUCACAGUAUUAAUAGCUGAUGUGUAUGGAAGGCCUACUAUGUACUGGGCAUAAUUCUAUGUGUUCUUCAUUUGUUAAUUCACUCAAUCCUUUUUUUUUCUUUUUUUUUUUUUUUGAGAUGGAGUCUCACUCUGUCGCCAGGCUGGAGUGCAGUGGCGCGAUUAUAUUCACCUAGAAGUUUGUGAACACUGUUCCUCUUUCAGUAAAAUCCAUGUUAUAGAUGCUGCUGGAUUUUAGGCAUCCAGAAAGGCCUGAGAUUGGCAGCUAUUUGUUGACAAUUCAAUGGGUAUAAAAGUUUCAGGCAGCAAAACUAAUGAAUGAUUUCCAACCACAGAAGCCGUCACUGGGAGAGCCAAUAAAGAUACGACAGAUCUGGCAGGAGAACAAGAUCCAGCCCAGGUGAUGGGGUGUGAGGCUUGGUCUUAGCUACAGGUAGGUCGUUUCCCUUAGCUCCUGGAUGACUCAGCUUGGCAGCCACCCAGACUUCUAUCAGGACCCAGAGGUGCUGCCAGCUCUGGAGCCAUGUCAGGCCAGCUUUCUCCCCAUGUCACCAGGGAAUGGAGAUUUUUCUGGUCUGCUGGGGCUUUUCCUAAUUCUGCACGGUCGGCUUGAGACUGUCCACCUGUUGCUCCAUCUAGGCUGCGUUGCCCUUAUGAGCCGUCUUCACAAGGUACGUUUGGAGGAUGUCAGGAUGUCUUUCAAAGGAUUUGUAGACAUGCUUUAAAGUACUUACGGAGUCAAUGUCCCCUUUGCUUCAAGCUUCUCUCCUACUGUAGGAAAUAAUGUCUACGGUGGCCCAUUUCCAAGGCAAAGUGCCUCAAAUAGGCUUGGGCCCACAACCUGCGGAUGGACAGGAUAUACUAGACCCCUGCUGGUCAGGGCCCCCUUAGUUACCCCCACCCAAAGCAAAGCGUUUAGUCUAGAAUGAAAGUUUACUAGCCUGAAAAAUAGCUCACUUUAUCUAUUCUUAUCAGCUUGCCUGGCCACCUGGGUCAUAAGUCAAAUACUUGAAGAGCACCUUAGCUGACUAUGAUUGCAGUGCAUUAUGGGCCACAACAAACUGCAGCGAGACAACCCUAAAGUAAACACCUAAAAGCCCCAACCCAACGACCAAUAGGUGAUGUCUGGGAAGAUGGUGACCCCAUGGUACUCAGCCUAUGAGGAACCGGGGGAGGGACUUGCCUACUAGGGGAUACAUUGCUUGUUGUAACUGUACUGGGUGUGCCUGCCUACCAGACACCAGAUCUUGCAAGACUGUCAUUAAAAGUCUCACUUCUGGCUGGGCGCAGUGGCUCAUGCCUGUAAUCCCAG
Molecule: long non-coding RNA, 1847 nt
Filed under: Homo sapiens (human)
Lineage: Eukaryota; Metazoa; Chordata; Mammalia; Primates; Hominidae
Description: HSALNT0277912
Source: RNAcentral